Dicentrarchus labrax (European seabass) is the source of this 621-nucleotide long non-coding RNA. RefSeq lists it as uncharacterized. The transcript has 4 exons. Lineage: Eukaryota; Metazoa; Chordata; Actinopteri; Moronidae. The record is from RefSeq and is a predicted model, not a curated record.
CGGUUGCUAAGGUAACCGUUACGUCAUCCCACGGCUGCUCGAGCCCAGGCAGGUACCAGCAGGAAUGUGCUGCUGUCUCCCAGUUUCACUUCGGCUCAUGUCUCUGCUGCAUACGAUCCUAAAGAAACACCGUCGCAGCUUGUAAGAGUUCAUGCAACAUUUUAGCACCCGUAAUCCAGUGGUGGAGCAAGUAUUAUAGUAAAAAGUACGACCACCACACUGUAAAAAUCCUGCGUUGAAAAUGUUUGGCUACUUAAGUAAAACAGCCUGGAUACUCCUCUGCUUAGCCAGAGGCAUGUCCAUUCAGGCUACCUAUAGGGCCUGACUGACAGCCACAGUGCAGUGAUGUACUAAGGAUUAACUAUUGAGGGACCCGUUGGAGAUCUCUCUGCUGCCGCUGCUCUCGGCUGACUGACUGGGUGGAUCCAUUGGAUUGUCACGACGGGGAUCUUAUUGGCCUGAAGUGAGCGGGUGUAACGUGAAAACCAGUCCCUCUCAAAUGCGGCCCGUAGCUGCUCCACCACUGUAGAGUUCCUCUCCUCGAUGCCCUCUGGCUGACUGAUCACCAGGCCUGCUCCUGCAUUAAAGGUGAACUCGUUCCCCACCCAGUCAAGGUUACCU